Hippocampus comes (tiger tail seahorse) is the source of this 367-nucleotide long non-coding RNA. RefSeq lists it as uncharacterized. The record is from RefSeq and is a predicted model, not a curated record. NCBI's taxonomy places the organism in Eukaryota, Metazoa, Chordata, Actinopteri, Syngnathiformes, Syngnathidae. The transcript is spliced from 3 exons.
UCUCGGAUAUCCUCUUCCCGAGUCCGUUCGAGAUCAAACCAUCACAUUCCACCGCGUCCCCAACAAUGAAAAAGGUGGGGGGGAUUCCAGAGAAGUCAACACAGAAGUGCAACCUUUCAGAUGCUGGUGUGAACCGAGCAUAGAUGCACCAACUUGGAAAGCUUGACAAUAUAGCGGGUUAUGGCCGGUAUUUAAACACAUAUAACCCAGAUGAGACCAAAUGUGGGGCAGCAUGUCGUGUGGGGAAACAUGCGCUUAUCCGAAGACAUCCAGCUCUUACAGCAUUGUGUGCAUCCACUGGUUGGCGUCUCUGCGUGCAUUGUUGCUCUCAUGCUACUCUCUUAUUAAGUAGAAAAAAAAAGGGAUG